This 626-nucleotide ribosomal RNA is filed under the name uncultured Oscillospiraceae bacterium. RNAcentral describes it as "bacterial SSU rRNA". It matches the Rfam family "Bacterial small subunit ribosomal RNA", at positions 907 to 1533 of the family's 1533-position model. The record is from RNAcentral. Lineage: Bacteria; Bacillati; Bacillota; Clostridia; Eubacteriales; Oscillospiraceae.
GAAUUGACGGGGGCCCGCACAAGCAGUGGAGUAUGUGGUUUAAUUCGAAGCAACGCGAAGAACCUUACCAAGGCUUGACAUAAUAGUGAAUACGAUAGAGAUAUCGUAGUCCUUCGGGACACUAUUACAGGUGGUGCAUGGUUGUCGUCAGCUCGUGUCGUGAGAUGUUGGGUUAAGUCCCGCAACGAGCGCAACCCCUGUUGCUAGUUGAUAACAUUCAGUUGAUCACUCUAGCGAGACUGCCGGUGAUAAAUCGGAGGAAGGUGGGGACGACGUCAAAUCAUCAUGCCCCUUAUGUCUUGGGCUACACACGUACUACAAUGGCUAUAACAGAGGGAAGCUAAGCUGCAAAGUGGAGCAAAUACCCCAAAAUAGUCCCAGUUCAGAUUGUGGGCUGCAACCCGCCCACAUGAAGUCGGAAUUGCUAGUAAUGGCAGGUCAGCAUACUGCCGUGAAUACGUUCCCGGGCCUUGUACACACCGCCCGUCACACCAUGAGAGUCUGCAACACCCGAAGUCGAUAGUCUAACCGUAAGGAGGACGUCGCCGAAGGUGGGGCCGAUGAUUGGGGUGAAGUCGUAACAAGGUAGCCGUAUCGGAAGGUGCGGCUGGAUCACCUCCUUUCUG